Podarcis lilfordi (Lilford's wall lizard) is the source of this 187-nucleotide non-coding RNA. The record is from the annotation of a GenBank genome assembly. NCBI's taxonomy places the organism in Eukaryota, Metazoa, Chordata, Lepidosauria, Squamata, Lacertidae.
CAUUGAUCUGUUUGUCACCCUGCAGAUCGCCAGGGUUGAGCCAGCUGAUCUGGCUGGCUAGGUGAGAUUCCUCUACCUUCCUCCUUGUACCAUGUUUAUUCCACCCAGAAGUGGUGUGCUUGGUGGAAGAGAACAACCACCUCAGAUCAAAGGAGUGCACUGUUCUUUGGUCAAGGAUAUUUUUCUA